CGCAUCUGUGCAUGCAGCAUAUCAAUAAGCGGAGGAAAAGAAACUAACAAGGAUUCCCUUAGUAACGGCGAGUGAAGGCGGGAAGAGCUCAAAUUUGAAAUCUUCAAGGUUUUACCUAGACGAAUUGUAGUUUAAAGAAGUGUUUUCUGUUGAAGGUUUUGGUAAAAGUUCUUUGGAAUAGGACAUCAUAGAGGGUGAGAAUCCCGUAUUUGACCAUUAUUUUCAGCUGUGUGAUACACUUUCAAAGAGUCGGAUUGUUUGGGAAUGCAGUCCAAAAUGGGUGGUAAAUUUCAUCUAAAGCUAAAUAUUGGCGAGAGACCGAUAGCGAACAAGUACCGUGAGGGAAAGAUGAAAAGAACUUUGAAAAGAGAGUUAAACAGUACGUGAAAUUGUCAAAAGGGAAGCGUUUGACACCAGUGUUGUUUUCUCGAAAAUCAAUUAAAAAGAGUUAGAUUUUGUUGUGUAUUGACCUUAACAGCUUGCAUUUCAAUUUUCUUGCUUUUUUUAAUGCACUUUUCGUUUAACAAGUCAACAUCAGUUUCUUUUGUUGUAAAAGGGUCAUUGGAAGGUGGCUUUCUCUUCGGAGAAAGUGUUUAUAGCCUUUGAUCUCUGCAAUCGGAGAGACUGAGGUCUGCAGCGUAGAUCCUUCGGGGUUAGAUACAUUUGUGCUAAGCUACUAGCUUUUCAUAGACAACUUGUUGACUAUGAUUUAGUCUUGUAGCUUACCUCGCUUAUGCUAUUUUACCUACGCUUAGGAUGUUGACGCGCGUGUGUGCGUG
This 779-nucleotide ribosomal RNA is filed under the name uncultured Neocallimastigales. Its description in RNAcentral is "partial large subunit ribosomal RNA". It matches the Rfam family "Eukaryotic large subunit ribosomal RNA", at positions 26 to 639 of the family's 3401-position model. Lineage: Eukaryota; Fungi; Neocallimastigomycota; Neocallimastigomycetes; Neocallimastigales. The record is from RNAcentral.